This 340-nucleotide ribosomal RNA is filed under the name Escherichia coli. RNAcentral's name for it is "partial 23S ribosomal RNA". It matches the Rfam family "Bacterial large subunit ribosomal RNA", at positions 853 to 1191 of the family's 2925-position model. The record is from RNAcentral. Lineage: Bacteria; Pseudomonadati; Pseudomonadota; Gammaproteobacteria; Enterobacterales; Enterobacteriaceae.
UUCUCCCCGAAAGCUAUUUAGGUAGCGCCUCGUGAAUUCAUCUCCGGGGGUAGAGCACUGUUUCGGCAAGGGGGUCAUCCCGACUUACCAACCCGAUGCAAACUGCGAAUACCGGAGAAUGUUAUCACGGGAGACACACGGCGGGUGCUAACGUCCGUCGUGAAGAGGGAAACAACCCAGACCGCCAGCUAAGGUCCCAAAGUCAUGGUUAAGUGGGAAACGAUGUGGGAAGGCCCAGACAGCCAGGAUGUUGGCUUAGAAGCAGCCAUCAUUUAAAGAAAGCGUAAUAGCUCACUGGUCGAGUCGGCCUGCGCGGAAGAUGUAACGGGGCUAAACCAUG